GGCCCGUUGGUCAAGCGGUCAAGACACCGCCCUUUCACGGCGGUAACAUGGGUUCGAUUCCCAUACGGGUCA
This 72-nucleotide transfer RNA is filed under the name Petrocella atlantisensis. It matches the Rfam family "tRNA". Rfam says of the family: Transfer RNA (tRNA) molecules are approximately 80 nucleotides in length. Their secondary structure includes four short double-helical elements and three loops (D, anti-codon, and T loops). RNAcentral also lists the same sequence under 2 other names. Lineage: Bacteria; Bacillati; Bacillota; Clostridia; Lachnospirales; Vallitaleaceae. The record is from Rfam by way of RNAcentral.